GCACAAGCUCAUAGGCUGUAAAGGUUCAUCCAUUGCAUCUUCACCUUUUUUUCCUGAUCAAAGACCGUAUUUCAAAGGUUGCUGGGGAUGCAGAAACUCUUUUAGCAAAUCUUCUGCCCUUCUUCAUCUCUGCAGGCAGUGGUGUUAUCUCAUUUUUUUUUCUCUUUUUUUUUUUUUUUUUUUUUCAGGGAAAGCUGAUGUCCUGCCCCCUUCUUCAAAGGUGCUGGUGGACGCUGUGAUCCUUGAAAACGUUGAGUGCAGAGCCAGGAAGGCUGCGAUGCUGACGACCAGGCUUGACUCUUCCCCAACGCUUAGAGCAAGGGAAGGCAGCGUGAUGUCUAGGGAGCAUCCUGGCAUCUCUGGGGCCGCCAUUCAGAGCAGACUAGCAGCUAAUGAAUCCCAGAAUCAUUAAGGUUGGAAAAGACCUCCAAGGUCAUCUGGUCCAACCAUCCAAUAAAGAUAUGUAGUUAUUAGCA
This 476-nucleotide long non-coding RNA is filed under the name Anser cygnoides (Swan goose). Its description in RNAcentral is "lncRNA (ENSACDG00005003150.1)". Lineage: Eukaryota; Metazoa; Chordata; Aves; Anseriformes; Anatidae. The record is from RNAcentral.